Molecule: unclassified non-coding RNA, 254 nt
Filed under: Dentipellis fragilis
Lineage: Eukaryota; Fungi; Basidiomycota; Agaricomycetes; Russulales; Hericiaceae
Description: partial internal transcribed spacer region
Rfam family: Eukaryotic small subunit ribosomal RNA (bases 1-46)
Source: RNAcentral
AAGUCGUAACAAGGUUUCCGUAGGUGAACCUGCGGAAGGAUCAUUACCGAAUUUGAAAGAGGUUGUUGCUGGCCUUCACCGGCAUGUGCACGCCUCGAUCUCAUCCAUCUUACACCUGUGCACCUUUGCGUGGGUCUGUUGGCUUUGCGGCCUUCGGACUUGCGUCUUUUCAUAAACUCUUAUGUAUGUAACAGAAUGUCUAAUGCUAUAAAACGCAUCUUAUACAACUUUCAACAACGGAUCUCUUGGCUCUC